GUGCUUAAACUUUCCGAGUAAGGAAUUUCACGGCUACCAGAUGAGCUCUAGUGGCUAUGUAACCUCACAGGUUGCGACCAAUUUUUGGAGGGUAGAGGUCUCCCUUGGAUGACCAGCCUACGUUUGCUGGUUGUCCUUGUGCGGGAACUGCCCA
RNAcentral lists this small nuclear RNA (154 nucleotides) under Soboliphyme baturini. Its description in RNAcentral is "U12 minor spliceosomal RNA". It matches the Rfam family "U12 minor spliceosomal RNA". Rfam says of the family: Although the U12 sequence is very divergent from that of U2, the two are functionally analogous. Lineage: Eukaryota; Metazoa; Nematoda; Enoplea; Dioctophymatida; Soboliphymatidae. The record is from Rfam by way of RNAcentral.